Molecule: ribosomal RNA, 229 nt
Filed under: uncultured bacterium
Lineage: Bacteria
Description: partial 16S ribosomal RNA
Rfam family: Bacterial small subunit ribosomal RNA
Source: RNAcentral
UGCGUAGGCGGCGCGCUAAGUCAGUGGUGAACGCCUCCCGCUCAACGGGAGAAAUGCCAUUGAUACUGGCGUGCUUGAGUACGGACGAGGUAGGCGGAAUUUAUGGUGUAGCGGUGAAAUGCAUAGAUACCAUAAAGAACACCGAUAGCGUAGGCAGCUUACUAGACCGUAACUGACGCUGAGGCACGAAAGCGUGGGGAGCGAACAGGAUUAGAUACCCUGGUAGUCC